AUGUUGCUCUGCAGCCUCGUGGAGGUGGUCAUGGCGUCCGUGUGGCUAGGAUGUGGCAUUGCCAAGAAGGUAACUCAAACCCAACUGGCAGUGUUUGUGCAGGAGAAGGCGGCUGUGACCCUGGACUGCACAUAUGACACUGGAGAUGUAGAUUAUUAUAUAUUCUGGUACAAGCAGUUCAGCAGUGGGGUGAUGAUUUCCCUUAUUCAUCAGUAUUCUUAUAACCAGCAAAAUGCCACAGAAGGUCGCUACUCAUUGAAUUUCCAGAAGACAAGCAAAACUAUUGACCUUGUCAUCUCAGCUUCACAGCUGGAGGACUCUGCAGUGUAUUUCUGUGCCCUGUGGGAGCACACAGUGAGAGGUGUGUGUGGGGAGGUGUUCCAAAACUCCAGGGCUCUGCUGCAUGCAUCCACCUGCCAUGGGGACUGGGCAGGGCAUCGCUGUCACAGACAGGAAAUGGCCAGGGCCGCCCAUCAUAGGUGGAGGGGUGGAGGGUACUCACUCACUCUAGGAAAAUACCUCUCCAGGUUCACAGACCAUAUCCAGGGUUAUCAUUCAUCAAAAUUAUUCUUAUCCCCAAAUCAUUGGCUUAAUGGUGAACAUACUGAAUUUGUGACCAAAGAUCGAAGAGAAAGAUAG
Non-coding RNA from Manis pentadactyla (Chinese pangolin), 639 nucleotides. Lineage: Eukaryota; Metazoa; Chordata; Mammalia; Pholidota; Manidae. The record is from the annotation of a RefSeq genome assembly.